UAGGGAAUCUUCGGCAAUGGACGAAAGUCUGACCGAGCAAAGCCGCGUGAGUGAAGAAGGUUUUCGGAUCGUAAAACUCUGUUGUUAGAGAAGAACAAGGACGUUAGUAACUGAACGUCCCCUGACGGUAUCUAACCAGAAAGCCACGGCUAACUACGUGCCAGCAGCCGCGGUAAUACGUAGGUGGCAAGCGUUGUCCGGAUUUAUUGGGCGUAAAGCGAGCGCAGGCGGUUUCUUAAGUCUGAUGUGAAAGCCCCCGGCUCAACCGGGGAGGGUCAUUGGAAACUGGGAGACUUGAGUGCAGAAGAGGAGAGUGGAAUUCCAUGUGUAGCGGUGAAAUGCGUAGAUAUAUGGAGGAACACCAGUGGCGAAGGCGGCUCUCUGGUCUGUAACUGACGCUGAGGCUCGAAAGCGUGGGGAGCAAACAGG
This 429-nucleotide ribosomal RNA is filed under the name Gemmatimonadota bacterium. RNAcentral describes it as "Gemmatimonadetes bacterium partial 16S ribosomal RNA". It matches the Rfam family "Bacterial small subunit ribosomal RNA", at positions 355 to 776 of the family's 1533-position model. Lineage: Bacteria; Pseudomonadati; Gemmatimonadota. The record is from RNAcentral.